This 71-nucleotide transfer RNA is filed under the name Camelus bactrianus (Bactrian camel). It matches the Rfam family "tRNA". From Rfam's summary of the family: Transfer RNA (tRNA) molecules are approximately 80 nucleotides in length. Their secondary structure includes four short double-helical elements and three loops (D, anti-codon, and T loops). RNAcentral also lists the same sequence under 2 other names. The record is from Rfam by way of RNAcentral. Lineage: Eukaryota; Metazoa; Chordata; Mammalia; Artiodactyla; Camelidae.
UGGGCUACAGCUCAGUGUAGAGCGUGUGCUUAGCAUGCACGAGGUCCUGAGUUCAAUUCUCAUUACCUCCA